RNAcentral lists this small nuclear RNA (147 nucleotides) under Ochotona princeps (American pika). Its description in RNAcentral is "U1 spliceosomal RNA (ENSOPRG00000017499.1)". It matches the Rfam family "U1 spliceosomal RNA". Rfam says of the family: U1 is a small nuclear RNA (snRNA) component of the spliceosome (involved in pre-mRNA splicing). Lineage: Eukaryota; Metazoa; Chordata; Mammalia; Lagomorpha; Ochotonidae. The record is from RNAcentral.
AUACUUACCUCUCAGGGAAGAUGCCAUGAUCAAGAAGGUGGUUUUCCCGGGGAAAAGCUUAUCAUUGCCCUUCAGAUAUGUUAACCCAUGUAAUUUCCCCAAAUGUAGGAAAUUUGUGUAAUUAUGGAAGCAGGGGCUAUAUUCGUG